CUCACCAAUAACACGAGACGAAAAUCAACAUAUUCAAUAAACAUGCUUAACAUAAAAUCAAAUCAUAAACUCGCAAGGCCAUGCUAUUCAUUUAUGCAAUUGAACUAUAAAAUCAUGUAAUUUUAGAAGGGGGUCCACUCACAGUACUUCGUCAUCGAAAAGUCACGUAGCUAGCGAAGACAGAAACGCCACUAUAAUUACCCCUAAGCACAUAAAGAGUCCAAUAAAUAAAACUAUAUAAUAGCAAUUGAAUUUGGGAAAAAGGACAUUGGAAACGGAUUCAGAACGUCAAAUUACCUUAAGAAGGGUCCUGGAUAAAUUUCGUAAAAUGUCAAUAGAAUAUCUUUAGAAUAUUUCCAAAGAAUAUUCCCUGGCAGAAUAUUCCACAUAAAGUGUUUGGGUUUAGCUAAUUAGGUGGGCUAGGUUUAGAGGAGAGGGCUUAGGGCCCUAGUUAAAAAGGCCCGAAGGCUGUAAGCCUAAGGGUUUUGGGUUUCUAGAUAAAAAGGCUUAGGGCCUUAGCUAAUUUGGCCCAAAGGCCUUUAACUUAAAACAAUUAAUAAAAUAAAUAAUAAAACUGAAAUGGGUUUUGGGUUGGGCUCGGCAGGAAAGGCCUAAAGGGCUUGGGUUUGGUGGGUCGCCAGACGCAAGGAUGAAGAAGGCCGAAAUUCGGCCAGAAAUCCACACCAACUUUAAAUGGCCAUAACUUUGACAAAACUCCACAAAAUCGAGUGAUUCAAAAACGAAAGUUGUAGUUCUCGAAAAGACAAAGAGAAUGUCACAUGAUGUCUAACUUGCCGUGGUUUGGCUUGAAAAUGCCUCGAAAGCCUCGGAGGUCACCGAAAACUGGGUAAGAUUUAAAUGAGUAUAACUUUUUCAGUACUUAAUGAAAUUGAGUGAAACAAAAAGGAAAGUUGUAGUUCUUAGCAAGAUGAAGAGAUUGAUACCUUGCA
RNAcentral lists this long non-coding RNA (950 nucleotides) under Malus domestica (apple). Its description in RNAcentral is "long non-coding RNA (MDOM_LNC009677)". Lineage: Eukaryota; Viridiplantae; Streptophyta; Magnoliopsida; Rosales; Rosaceae. The record is from RNAcentral.